Molecule: non-coding RNA, 110 nt
Filed under: bovine gut metagenome
Description: FMN riboswitch (RFN element)
Rfam family: FMN riboswitch aptamer (RFN element)
About the family: The RFN element is a highly conserved domain that is found frequently in the 5'-untranslated regions of prokaryotic mRNAs that encode for flavin mononucleotide (FMN) biosynthesis and transport proteins. This element is a metabolite-dependent riboswitch that directly binds FMN in the absence of proteins. In Bacillus subtilis, the riboswitch most likely controls gene expression by causing premature transcription termination within the 5' untranslated region of the ribDEAHT operon and precluding access to the ribosome-binding site of ypaA mRNA.
Source: RNAcentral
GCUUCAGGGCGGGGUGAGAUUCCCCACCGGCGGUAUAGCCCGCCUGCCUGCUUGUGCAGAGCUGAUCCGGUGAGAUUCCGGAGCCGACGGUAUAGUCCGGAUGAAAGAGU